RNAcentral lists this ribosomal RNA (500 nucleotides) under uncultured bacterium. RNAcentral describes it as "partial 16S ribosomal RNA". It matches the Rfam family "Bacterial small subunit ribosomal RNA", at positions 30 to 523 of the family's 1533-position model. The record is from RNAcentral.
AUUGAACGCUGGCGGCAUGCUUUACACAUGCAAGUCGAACGGUAACAGGGUGCUUGCACCGCUGACGAGUGGCGAACGGGUGAGUAAUGCGUCGGAACGUGCCGAGUAGUGGGGGAUAACGCAGCGAAAGUUGUGCUAAUACCGCAUACGUACUGAGGUAGAAAGUGGGGGACCUUCGGGCCUCACGCUAUUCGAGCGGCCGACGUCUGAUUAGCUAGUUGGUGAGGUAAAGGCUCACCAAGGCGACGAUCUGUAGCGGGUCUGAGAGGAUGAUCCGCCACACUGGAACUGAGACACGGUCCAGACUCCUACGGGAGGCAGCAGUGGGGAAUUUUGGACAAUGGGCGCAAGCCUGAUCCAGCCAUGCCGCGUGAGUGAAGAAGGCCUUCGGGUUGUAAAGCUCUUUCGGCCGGGAAGAAAUCGGUGAGGCUAAUAUCCUCACUGGAUGACGGUACCGGAAUAAGAAGCACCGGCUAACUACGUGCCAGCCGCCGCGGUAA